GGGUCAGUAGGUUGGUCGUGCCACCGGUACGUACUGGUCUCACUGAUUCCUCCUUCCUGAAGAACCGUAAUGCCAUUAAUUCGGUGUUGCGGGGAAACAGGACUGUUACUUUGAAAAAAUUAGAGUGUUUAAAGCAAGCUAACGCUUGAAUACAUUAGCAUGGAGUAAUGAAAUAGGACGAUCGAUCCUAUUUUGUUGGUUUCUAGGAUUGACGUA
RNAcentral lists this ribosomal RNA (216 nucleotides) under Glomeromycotina sp. RNAcentral describes it as "partial small subunit ribosomal RNA". The stretch from base 87 to 216 matches the Rfam family "Eukaryotic small subunit ribosomal RNA", at positions 733 to 864 of the family's 1831-position model. Lineage: Eukaryota; Fungi; Glomeromycota. The record is from RNAcentral.